RNAcentral lists this long non-coding RNA (3570 nucleotides) under Homo sapiens (human). RNAcentral's name for it is "long non-coding RNA NONHSAT214173.1". Lineage: Eukaryota; Metazoa; Chordata; Mammalia; Primates; Hominidae. The record is from RNAcentral.
GGGCGGCCGCGGAGCUGGGGCCUGGGAGGGGACGGUCCUGCCGGGAGGAGGCGGAGGCAGGACAGGGUGGGGUUGCGGGCCCGGCGCCGCCCCUCCCGGCUCCUGGCUCCCCUCGCCUGGUGUCCCGCGCCUGGCCGGGAGGCGGCGGGUCUCGAUCGCGCGGGCCUCCCUGGAGGGGCGCGGGCUCUGGCGGCGGGGAGGCCCCUGCUCAGCGCAAUGGCGGGCUUGCAUCCUUGGGUGAUUUUUUCGGGCCCCUUGUGGCCUUUGCUCACGCCUAGAGAGCAAACCACCCGCACCACCCAGGAGCAGAUAAAAUCGAGACCACAGCCUCCAAGGGAGCGCGCCUCCAUCCUGUUUGCCCCUCGGGUCGCCGUCUGAGGGCGGGCCCGUGCCCGCUCAGAGCCUACAUCCGAGUCGUAUAAAGCGCUGACAGCAGAGAAAGCUGCGGCUUUGCUCCGUGCAGAUGAGCAGGGGCUGAGGGAGGACGCUGUGCUCUCAGUAGCCGCGCUUGGCCCGGGGACCCUGCAGGCUUAGAAACGUGAGUCACGCCUGCAGCGUGGCGAGGAAACGCCGUUGAUGUGGCAUCCUCAGCCUGGGGUUGUGGCUUUAAGCCAGAAGGUCAAAAAAAGAAGUCUUCCUGAGCUGAGACUGCCCUGAGUCGCUUUAGGGGCGAAAUUCCGAGCAUCCGGUUGCAUUUCCUGAGGAUGACACGCGUGGUGGGUGUGGACGGCCUACAGGGGUCCAUCCUCAGCGGCCCCUCUGCAGGGCAGUCUCGCUCUCACUCUCCCAGCUGACUCCUCUCAAGCCUGUUAACCAUUGUACACGUUCCCAAGGACUCCAAGCAGGUUGGACUUCAGGGAACAUUGCAGUUUGGGUCUUGGCCAUUGUUUACACUCCACCUUGCAUAAGUGCUUGAGGAUCACACAACCAGAUACGUAGAUCAUCCGUAGAUCAUCGCAGUCACAUCGAAGAUUUGUUUAUAAUAGGAAAAAAAAAAGCUACCCACUGUCAUGCGCUGGGAAACUAGGAGUGUGGGUGUGGCAGCAACCCAGCAUCUACCAUGCCGACCAUGUGCCAUGCCAUGCACCGCGUGUCGUAACAGGACAACAGAGCAAGAGACCCAGCAGACAGGGGUCCCCAGCAACCUCAUGAAGCGCCAUCCACUCACCUCCAGACAGUCUGGGGAGAGAGACUGAAACUUCUGUCUAAGCCACUUCAUCUUUGAUCUCCUUGUUUUUGUGGUUCAGGUUGUAUCUUAAUAAAUAAAACGUGUUUGAGUUCAUGUUUACAUCCAACCAUUAAAAAAGUAUAUUUUGCCAUGAGAUAAACAAUGAGACCCUGCACGAGAUGAAAUAUUUCCAUGGUCACUCGUCAUCUCCUUACAGAGAAUUACUAAGAUUUUAUUAAAACAGUGUAGAUUAUGAGAGUAUGGUGACUCUAAAGUGAAGUUUACAUUCAGAUGACCCCCAGGCCCGCGUAUGGAGCUCCGGUUCUGUAGCUGAAGAUGGGACAGAGGUGCAGGGAGAGCUGCAGUCGCGUUCUCGGAGGCAUGGCCCCGUGUUGAUCGGACACGUCAUGUUCAGUCAGUGCCAUGCAGGUGUGCAGCGGACGGUCUGGCUGAGGCCGGGGGUGCCACGGUCCCCCCGUCUGCUGAGUAGUAGCAAAGCUGAAUAUUUUCCUGGAAACAUUUUGUGCGCCCCUGGGGUGUGCUGCUGGGGACAAUGGGAAGUCUUUGGAACUCAGGAGCAGCGCACGCUUGGUAUUUGUGCUGGAAGAUGACCAGCCACAGACUGGAGAUCAGGAUGGCCCGAGACCAGGGCCACUGCUGACCCUGGGCAGGGAGGACACAGUGUGGCAGAGGCCUGCAUUGGUGGGAUGGGAGGAGGCCUUGCUGGAGAGCUCAGAGGUGGAAUAUGGUGGUCUCAUGUGGCUUCUCUUACCACAGACCCCAAGACAAAGGUGCCCACUGGUGGGAGGCUAUGACCAUUGUGCUGAGUCGCACGACCUGGAGCAUCUCUGAGAGAGCAGAACUCACCGUCCCCACUGCAUAGCUCUUCAGGCCCAGGGCUUUCGAGGAAGAAACAGGUGAUCAUCUUCCACCUGGCAGCUCCCAGGAGACGGGUGGGGUCAGUGGACCCUGUUCGCAGAACUAAAGGCGGGAAGACCGUGGCUUCCAUUCACCUCCUCAGAAGUGAGCCAAGGGCCCUGGGCUGGCGACAAGGACUCUAAGGAGCUUGCGGGACCGUGCGGUGUUCGUGACGACAAGGACUCUAAGAAGCUUGCAGGACCGUGCGGUGUUCGUGACGACAAGGACUCUAAGAAGCUUGCAGGACUGUGCGGUGUUCGUGACGACAAGGACUCUAAGAAGCUUGCAGGACUGUGCGGUGUUCGUGACUUCCCCUUGCCUGUUGUUUUUAAAAUCUUUUGUUAGUUUCUCUGUAGUUAUUGGCAGAAAAAUCUUUAUUCGUGCCCCUGUUCAAGAUUAGCAAGAAAGAGGAAAUGUGGAAAAGCCACAUCCUGUUUUGCAGCCAGGCUUGUGUGUGGUGGAGGGACAGGGGACAGGACCCUACGGGAUGGGAUGAAGAGGGAUAAAGACGGCCUGGGAUGGAGACGGUGGGAAGGCGCCUGUGAUUCCUUAGAGCAGCACAGGCGGUGCAGAGGCUCCAGCUGGGGUCUGGAGGAUGAGGCUGCCAUCAAGCUCCACCAUGGGCCCUGGGGAGGGGUAGGCAGGGCAGGGGGACAGCCAGAGGAUGGGGAAGAGGAAUGGGUGUACCAUAGACCUACGGUGACAUGGAACAGGCACUAGUAGGAAGGCAGCCGGGUGUUUGGGGGCCCGGGCCACAGCAGAUUUCAACAAUAACAUGGACAAAACAUGGAAAGAGCAAAGAAGACAGUGCAGGUGGCCCACAAGCACAUGGAAAGGCACUUAGCUUCACCAGUCAGCAGGGAAAUGCGAAUCAAAACCACAGUGGGUCGUCACUUCACACCCUUUAGGAUGGGUAUUGUAAAAACAAAAACCAGAAAAGAACACGCACUGAUGAGGGCGUAGAGAGAUUGGAACCCUUGUGUGCUGUUGGUGAGAAUGUGAAAUGAUGCAGCUGCUCCAGAAAACAGCACGGCGGUGUAUUAGUCAGGGUUCUCCAGAGGGACAGAACUAAUGGAAUAGAUACAUAUAUAUGAAGGGGAGUUUAUUAAGUAUUAACUCACACAAUCACAGGGUCCCACAAUAGGCCGUCUGCAGGCUGAGGAGCAAGGAGAGCCAGUCCCAGUUCCAAAACAGAAGAACUUGGAGUCUGAUGUUCAAGAGCAGGAAGCAUCCAGCACGGGAGAAAGAUGUAGUCUGGGAGGCUAAGCCAGUGUCUGUUUUCACAUUUUUCUGCCUGCUUUAUAUUCUAGCCGCCGUGGCAGCUGAUUAGAUGGAGCCCAUCCGGAUUGAGGGUGGAUCUGCCUUUCCCAGCACACUGACUCAAAUGUUCAUCUCCUUUGGCAACACCCUCAGAGACACACCCAGGAUCAAUACUUUGUAUCCCUCAAUCCAAUCCAGUUGACACUCAGUAUCAACCAUCACAG